UGAAAAUAUGCAAUGGUUAAAUCUUUAUGGUAAUUAUGAUGCUUGGUAUAAACAUAUUCGUGACCGUCAUUUUCAGGGUAAUCUUUGGUGUGCAUUUGAAGAAUACAAUGAAGAAGAUUGUCUUAUGUUCAUAGAUAUGUAUGAAGAUGAAAAGAAGCAAUAUUUAGAAUAUUUGCAUCCUAUGUCUUAUGCCAUAGUUAGUAGGCAAGUUGCAAUUGAUCUUCUGUAUGUCCGAAUUUCUAUGAUUGCUUUUGAAAACCUCUCAAAAGAAGCCUUAAAAAAGUGAUCUAUUUAUAUAAUAUGUCUUCAUCUAUUUCUUUUAGUAUUACUACUUCUAGUGGUCUUGUGUUAAAUAAGAUUAAUAGUAAUAAGUUAGAUU
Molecule: long non-coding RNA, 379 nt
Filed under: Coffea arabica (coffee)
Lineage: Eukaryota; Viridiplantae; Streptophyta; Magnoliopsida; Gentianales; Rubiaceae
Description: long non-coding RNA (CARA_LNC007401)
Source: RNAcentral